UAACACGUAAACAACCUGCCUUCAGGAUGGGGACAACAGACGGAAACGACUGCUAAUACCGAAUAAGUUCCAAGGCGCAUGGCCCAUGGAAGAAAAGGUGGCCUCUACCUGUAAGCUAUCGCCUGAAGAGGGGUUUGCGUCUGAUUAGCUGGUUGGAGGGGUAACGGCCCACCAAGGCGACGAUCAGUAGCCGGUCUGAGAGGAUGAACGGCCACACUGGAACUGAGACACGGUCCAG
RNAcentral lists this ribosomal RNA (238 nucleotides) under uncultured bacterium. RNAcentral describes it as "partial 16S ribosomal RNA". It matches the Rfam family "Bacterial small subunit ribosomal RNA", at positions 111 to 334 of the family's 1533-position model. The record is from RNAcentral.